AAACAAUCCCUACUCAAUCUGGAGGCGUAUUUACUGCAGAUCAGUUUCCAGGUAACCACAGCUCCCUUGUCCAGGGGGCCUUGAAUCCAGGUAGUAGUUUCCUGUUCCACGAGGAGAUGGAGAAGGAGGCCAUGCAUCCUCCCCCAGGAAGCAGGAGACGGAUUACAUCACUGCUUGUAAAAUGAGGGUAACAAUUGCCCUGGGUCAGGGCAGUCUCAGCGCUCCACCCAGCUCCAACCUGCUGGGCCAGGUGUGCCUCAGCCCUCAGGAAUGGACAAAAGUCUGGCUUAAUUCUGGCAUGACCCCAACCUUGAGAACGUCGAAUUCAAAUGAACACAGAAUCGUCUCAGAGACAUGGCUAAGCCAUCUUCAUACCCAU
RNAcentral lists this long non-coding RNA (379 nucleotides) under Capra hircus (goat). RNAcentral describes it as "lncRNA (ENSCHIG00000002341.1)". The record is from RNAcentral. Lineage: Eukaryota; Metazoa; Chordata; Mammalia; Artiodactyla; Bovidae.